This 306-nucleotide ribosomal RNA is filed under the name Triticum aestivum (bread wheat). RNAcentral's name for it is "partial small subunit ribosomal RNA". The record is from RNAcentral. Lineage: Eukaryota; Viridiplantae; Streptophyta; Magnoliopsida; Poales; Poaceae.
AUGCGAAUGCUCUACAGGUUUUUUUAUCAGCUUCAUGUUUCAGUUGCAGUGUUCGUUAAUCAGUCAGUUGAUUCAGUUUGGGUUGAAAUGGUGCAACUGACAGAAUACAGGUUUCACCUUCUUCAGAUAGAUGAGAAGUACACCUUCAGACAGAUGAAAAGUACACGAGUAUACCUUCAGAUGAAAAGAAAGACAGUACUACAUCUUCAGGCAGAUGAAAAGAAAUACACGAGUAGAGACGAUGAUCUUUUUGGUACAAUUAGAGAGGAUAUAUAUAUUGUACUAAUACAUUGUGUUGGUAAAUAA